This is a long non-coding RNA of Oncorhynchus tshawytscha (Chinook salmon), 404 nucleotides long. The record is from Ensembl. NCBI's taxonomy places the organism in Eukaryota, Metazoa, Chordata, Actinopteri, Salmoniformes, Salmonidae.
GUUUCCCAAAGGCGGGAAGGUAGCCCACGGGAAGGUAGCCCACGGGAAGGUAGCUCACGGGAAGGUAGCCCACGGGAAGGUAGCCCACGGGAAGGUAGCCCACGGGAAGGUAGCUCACAAAAAGGUAGACCACGGGAAGGUAGCCCACGGGAAGGUAGCUCACAAAAAGGUAGACCACGGGAAGGUAGCCCACGGGAAGGUAGCUCACAAAAAGGUAGACCACGGGAAGGUAGCUUAAGCCCAUAGAAAUGCAUUGGCUUAUUUUGGACAGAUUUUUGUGAGAGUGAACCCUCUCGCUUCGCCUCUUCCUUUCUGCUGAUAUACACUAAUAUUGAGUUGCACCCCCUUUUGCCCUCAGAACAGCCUCAAUUCGUCAGGGCAUGGACUCUACAAGGUGUCGAAAG